UUUCCGUAGGUGAACCUGCGGAAGGAUCAUUAUUGAAUGAAACACUUCUGGCUUUAUGCUGUUGUGCUGGCCCUUUGGGCAAUGUGCACACGGCUCUGGUCACUUGUUUCUUCUGUACCACCUGUGCACUGCCUGUAGACAAGCUGUGUCUAUGAUAUUUGUUAACACACAACAAUGUUAGUUGGCAUGUUAUAUAUAAUAAUAAAAUAUACAACUUUCAACAACGGAUCUCUUGGCUCUC
This 241-nucleotide unclassified non-coding RNA is filed under the name plant metagenome. RNAcentral describes it as "partial contains small subunit ribosomal RNA, internal transcribed spacer 1, and 5.8S ribosomal RNA". The record is from RNAcentral.